This 2864-nucleotide ribosomal RNA is filed under the name Ammonia aberdoveyensis. Its description in RNAcentral is "SSU rRNA". It matches the Rfam family "Eukaryotic small subunit ribosomal RNA". Lineage: Eukaryota; Foraminifera; Rotaliida; Rotaliidae. The record is from RNAcentral.
GGUGAUCCUGCCAGCUGUUCAUACGCUCUUUAAGCUCAAAGAUUAAGCCAUGCAAGUGGUUCAUUUGAACCCGACAGUUUAAAUAAGUGUUAUAUAGCUAUAAACACACAGCGAAUAUCACAACACGUGAUCAUGUGCCUUCGUGGCGCGUAUCACUUAUGCAACUGCAGACAGCUGCUUAAUACAGUCACACUUGUCUUGACUUGGUGAAUAUACAUAACACCCCUCGAGAAAUAAAAUUAUCUACGGAUAAUUCAGGGAAAGUUUGGCUAAUACGUACGAGUAAUAUAAUCAACACACACACACAUUACUCAGCACUCGAUAGGACGUUCGCGGGCACUCAAUAUGAACAAAUAUCGAGCACGCACGGGCGGCUGCUUUCGCGGCAGGCGCCCAUUUUACGCUGAGCAAAUAUUGUUUCAAUUUAACUGAGACGAUAUAUGUUAUACAAGUAUCUAUAGCAUCAGGUCAUAGGGUUGGCACGUGUAUUAUUGAACCUUCAAAGCAGUAACGCAUACGGAAGAGUAGUUUCUGAUCCCAUAGAAGGAGCACCGUACAAUGAGAGACCGCUCUUAGUUCUAAGGAACGCAGCAGGCGCGUAAAUUGCCCAAUGUAAUAACACAUACAUAUAUAUNCAAUAUGUGCGCAUAGCUAUACACACACACUAUUUNAACUAACAAUAACCUUGUNGCACACACCACGUAUAUUANUUACGCGGCAGUGACAAGCUGUAACGGUUGAGUAUAUAAUUAUUGACGAGUGUUAGCGUUGCCGCGUGCUCUCGGGCGCGCUAUGGCAUACUGCCAACACUUUGUGUGCUCAAUUGGAAUGCGGUGAGUUUAAGUAUCUCAGAAUCUGUAUAACAUGUACGCCUCGACGUGCAUGUUGUGCGUAUCUGAAUUUUCAAGUGGAGGGCAAGUCUGGUGCCAGCAGCCGCGGUAAUACCAGCUCCACUGGCCUAUACAAUCAUUGUUGCGGUUAAGAGGCUCGUAGUUGGAUUGAACAAAAAAAAUAAACCUCGACACACACACACACUCAGCGUCGAACCACCAUAUUCAACACUGUGAACAAAUCAGAACGUAUCAAAUAUGUCGUAUAACCCUACGCGCAUUGUAUGCCCCGUCAUGGAAUGUUGCCUCUAUAGAGUCUAUACACACACAUAUUAUAUAUACACACUAUGUGUCGAUGGGGAUAGCUGGAAUCAACAGUACUACUGGGCGAGCGGUGAAAUGCAUUGACCCUAGUAAGACUACCAAAAGCGAAAGCAGUUGGUUAGGCUAUACCCUUUGUGCCGCGUGACAUACACUCUACACGCACACACCCACAGAGAAUAUGCACGCCCACUUUACAAUGAAGAACGAAGGCUGGGGGAUCAAAGAGGAUCAGAUACCCUUCGUUCGUCCCAUUAGUUACAUCAAACUAUGGGCUCUCAAUUGCUCUCAGUUUAACCUGUCGAGUAAUAUUAUGAUCUCAUACCCUGACCUGCAAACCUGUAUGGCUUGAGCCUCCCCGCUCGCUGUACUAAACUGUAUCGGUCUCAGUAUAGACAUAUCUACUCACCAUAUAAAUAAAGUCAUGUCAGCACUCUAUCAAUGUAACAGUUGAUUUCGCAGACAUAAGAUUUUAUGAACUUUGCGCUCAGUUAAUAUACGGUGAGAUGUAAGCAUCGUAAGCAUAAUGUGUUAGUGCGCAUCCGCUCUCGGGCGCGAUCCACUCGCAUUUUUGCUUAAUAUAUGGUGUGAAGCACGUGUUAGGUACGCGCUUACUGCAGAAAUGUCUGAGACACUCCUUCCUGGGGUAGUAUGCACGCAAGUGUGAAACUUGAAGGAAUUGACGGAAGGGCACCACAAGAACGCGUGGAGCAUGUGGCUUAAUUUGACUCAACGCGGGAAAUCUUACCGGGUCCGGACACACUGAGGAUUGACAGAUAUACGCUCAUUGCAUGUGCUUCGGCGCUGCUUUGAGCUGAAAGAUGCUAGUUCUUUCAUGAUUAUGUGAUAGGUGGUGCAUGGCCGUUCUUAGUUCGUGGAGUGAUCUGUCUGCUUAAUUGCGUAUCAAUAAUAGAGACCUAGUAUACGCGUGGAUUUCGCGUGGUAGUGACCCCCUGUUUCAACGCAGGCGUGUGUCGCACACGCGUGCCGCGCACUGGUCUCAGAUAGCAACGAACGUGACCGUAUUCUAUUGUUGCAGUGAAUAUGUGUGCCUUCGGGCGUACGACCCACUGCUUAGUAUAUGCACGCCUCGGCGAGCAAUAUACAUUAAACUAUAGAGACCGCUGUUUCUUCUUUAAACCAGAGGAAGGAUACGGCAAUAACAGGUCUGUGAUGCCCUCAGAUGUUCCGGGCUGCACACGUGCUACAAUGAUCAUUGCACUGUGCAUCUAACCCAAUGUGCGUGGACGCCGCAUGUUUGUGCCUUCGGGUACACGCAUUGCUGAGCGACCACGCCGAACCUACUUCGAAAGUAAAAUUUCUCUGUGGGUAAUCCAUUAGAAGUAAUGACUCGCAUAGACCAUGGCACACCAAAUGUACGCGCAGGUCUACCCGGCUCGCCUUUGUGUGAGUGCAGUGCGUAGCUUGUUGUUUCGUACGUGCCACUCCGUAUUAAUUCGUACGUGGGGAUAGAUCAUUGUUUAAUUGUUGGUCUCGGUCUUAACUAGGAAUGCCUUGUACGGGUCUCUGGUUCAACAUACCACCCGGAAUACGUCCCUGCCCUUUGUACACACCGCCCGUCGCUCUUACCGAUGGAUUAUGCUAUGAAUCUAUAGGACUGCCAAAGUUGCCUCGGCUGCUUAGUGGAAAUAUAUAUGAAUAGCGUGAUCUAAAGGAAAGAGAAGUCGUAACAAGGCAUCGGUAGGUGAACCU